RNAcentral lists this transfer RNA (96 nucleotides) under Desulfobacterales bacterium. RNAcentral describes it as "tRNA-Ser". It matches the Rfam family "tRNA". From Rfam's summary of the family: Transfer RNA (tRNA) molecules are approximately 80 nucleotides in length. Their secondary structure includes four short double-helical elements and three loops (D, anti-codon, and T loops). Further hydrogen bonds mediate the characteristic L-shaped molecular structure. tRNAs have two regions of fundamental functional importance: the anti-codon, which is responsible for specific mRNA codon recognition, and the 3' end, to which the tRNAs corresponding amino acid is attached (by aminoacyl-tRNA synthetases). tRNAs cope with the degeneracy of the genetic code in two manners: having more than one tRNA (with a specific anti-codon) for a particular amino acid; and 'wobble' base-pairing, i.e. permitting non-standard base-pairing at the 3rd anti-codon position. RNAcentral also lists the same sequence under 3 other names. The record is from RNAcentral. Lineage: Bacteria; Pseudomonadati; Thermodesulfobacteriota; Desulfobacteria; Desulfobacterales.
GGAGAGAUGUCCGAGCUGGCUGAAGGAGCGCGACUGGAAAUCGCGUGUACCACUCAAAAAGUGGUACCGAGGGUUCGAAUCCCUCUCUCUCCGCCA